CCUACGGGCGACAGCAGUGAGGAAUAUUGGUCAAUGGACGAGAGUCUGAACCAGCCAAGUAGCGUGAAGGAUGACUGCCCUAUGGGUUGUAAACUUCUUUUAUAAAGGAAUAAAACGAGGCACGUGUGCCUUUUUGCAUGUACUUUAUGAAUAAGGAUCGGCUAACUCCGUGCCAGCAGCCGCGGUAAUACGGAGGAUCCGAGCGUUAUCCGGAUUUAUUGGGUUUAAAGGGAGCGUAGAUGGGUUGUUAAGUCAGUUGUGAAAGUUUGCGGCUCAACCGUAAAAUUGCAAGUGAUACUGGCAGUCUUGAGUACAGUUGAGGUAAGCGGAAUUCGUGGUGUAGCGGUGAAAUGCUUAGAUAUCACGAAGAACCCCGAUUGCGAAGGCAGCUUACUAAACUGUGACUGACAUUGAUGCUCGAAAGCGUGGGUAGCAAACAGGAUUAGAUACCCUAGUAGUC
This 460-nucleotide ribosomal RNA is filed under the name uncultured bacterium. Its description in RNAcentral is "partial 16S ribosomal RNA". It matches the Rfam family "Bacterial small subunit ribosomal RNA", at positions 338 to 795 of the family's 1533-position model. The record is from RNAcentral.